Molecule: ribosomal RNA, 253 nt
Filed under: uncultured bacterium
Lineage: Bacteria
Description: partial 16S ribosomal RNA
Rfam family: Bacterial small subunit ribosomal RNA
Source: RNAcentral
UACGUAGGAUGCAAGCGUUAUCCGGAAUUAUUGGGCGUAAAGCGUGUGUAGGUGUUUUGUCGCGUCCGCCGUAAAAUCUCCAGGCUCAACUUGGAACUCGCGGUGGAUACGGACAGAAUUGAGGUCGGAAGAGGCAGAUGGAAUUCCCGGUGGAGCAGUGAAAUGCGUAGAUAUCGGGAGGAACACCAAUGGCGAAGGCAGUCUGCUGGGCCGAACCUGACACUGAGACACGAAAGCGUGGGGAGCGAACGGG